This 491-nucleotide ribosomal RNA is filed under the name uncultured eukaryote. RNAcentral describes it as "partial 18S ribosomal RNA". It matches the Rfam family "Eukaryotic small subunit ribosomal RNA", at positions 592 to 976 of the family's 1831-position model. The record is from RNAcentral.
CAAUAGCGUAUAUUAAUUCUGCUGCAGUUGAAAAGCUCGUAGUUGGAUCUUGAAGUGUCAUUGUGAGGGGUUUCGGUCCGCCAGAAAUUGGUGGGUACCGUCCCUCCGGCUUCAUAUGUGAUAGUAGCGCAUCAUGUGCCCGGAAGGGAUUUCAUGAUUGAGGAUGUUAUGAAGCUCUCCGUGUAUAGGAGGGUGGAGGCUCUUCUUAAGGAUGAGUAGGGUGGCUUUCGGGUCCCCCUUCACAACUUAGUGCUCUAUCUUGUUUACUUUGAAAAAAUUAGAGUGUUUAAAGCAGGCCGUUUCGGCCACUGUAUACAUUAGCAUGGGAUAAUAGAAUAGGACAUGAGUCCAUUUUGUUGGUUUUUAUGGGUCUCGCGUAAUGAUUAACAGGGACAGUUGGGGUGACUUGUAUUUGGGGGCGAGAGGUGAAAUUCUAUGAUCCCCCAAAGACAAACUACUGCGAAAGCAUUUCACAAACAUGUUUUCAUUAA